UGUGACUGGUUGACCAGAGGGCUGUAUUUUCUCCACCUGUGGGCCACCUAGUCACCAG
RNAcentral lists this microRNA precursor (58 nucleotides) under Dasypus novemcinctus (nine-banded armadillo). Its description in RNAcentral is "microRNA dno-mir-134 precursor". Its record names the gene dno-mir-134. Lineage: Eukaryota; Metazoa; Chordata; Mammalia; Cingulata; Dasypodidae. The record is from miRBase by way of RNAcentral.